Molecule: long non-coding RNA, 31018 nt
Filed under: Vitis vinifera (wine grape)
Lineage: Eukaryota; Viridiplantae; Streptophyta; Magnoliopsida; Vitales; Vitaceae
Description: long non-coding RNA (VVIN_LNC000938)
Source: RNAcentral
CACAGUACCUGGCUUCUCCUUCCAUGGCAGGCUCCUCACAGACCUCUAGCUCCUUCUUUAUUAUCUCAGCUUCUGCGGAUUUUUCUUUCAGGGAAAAUCGGUUCAAGAUUUUGGGUAGCUUGUUGGAUGAAAAGGGCAUGGAUUCAGCAACUUGACAGCCAGGAGUAUGAGUUUGGAGUGGGGAUGAAGAAGGUUGCAGACAAAUCAGUGGUGUGCCAUAAGAUGAACUACCCAUAUGCUGUUUUCUACUGCCAUACCUUCACUAAGACACGGACUUACAUGAUUCCAUUGGUGGGUGUUGAUGGAAGCAAAUCUAAAGCCAUGGCAGCUUGUCACAGUGAUACAUCAGCUUGGCACCCACAGCAUGUGGCCUUCCAAGUGCUCAAAAUUAAGCCAGGAACGGUCCCAGUCUGCCAUUUCCUUCACAACAAUGCCAUGGUCUGGAUUCCAAAGUAAGAAUCAGCCUCAAGCCUCAAGCCCAGUUGCAUUAUCAGUUCCAUCUUAAAGCUGUUUGUAGUAUGAAUGGUUAGAAUAAAAAAUUAAAUAAAAAAAAACUUUAUUAAAUAAAUAAACUUUAGUUAUUUUAUUUUUAAUUAUAUUAAUUUAUUAAUUAAAAUAUAGACGCCCGGUUUCAUCAUAUUAAAAUAUAUUGGUAUGAUAUUUUAUUAAUAAGGCCACUAAUUUUAUAAAUUAAAUAUGAUGAACAACAUUUUGAGAAUCAAAGAUGUGCCUCCAUUUGGAAAUUUCACACGAGAUUUUGGGCAUGUCACCUAUUUUAUUCCCAAAGGGUUGACUAAGAAAAACAGUAGAGCAUGUCACCUAAUCACACGAGCUUAGUGAUUUCGGGACCCUCUUCUGACAAUAAAUGAGCCACUAUUUCAUUUAAAAACCCAUAACAAAGUGAUUUUGGCCCGAUCCCCACUUCGGUUCACACAUUGGAACCCUUGGUACAUCCGUUACAAAAUUUGGUACAUCCUUCACAAAAUUUGGUACAUCCUUCAAAAAAUUUAGUACAUCCUUCAUUAAAUUUGGUACAUCCGAUCUGACAGAUUCCGAGGCCCCCAUUUCAACAUGGAUGGUCCAUAAUUACUUUUAGAAACCCAUAACAAAGUGAUUUUGGACCGAUCCCCACUUUGGUUCACACAUUGGAACCCUUGGUACAUCAUUUACAAAAUUUGGUACAUCCUUCACAAAAUUUGGUACAUCCUUUACAAAAUUUAGUACACCCUUCAUUAAAUUUGGUACAUCCGAUCUGACAGAUUCCGAGGCCCCCAUUUCAACAUGGAUAGUCCAUAAUUACUUUUAGAAACCCAUAACAAAGUGAUUUGGGGCCGAUCCCAACUUCGCAACGCAUUUUUAGACCCUUCGUACAUCCUUAACAAACUUUGGUACAUCUGAGUUUAGUGAUUCCGAGGCCCUAUUCUGACCAUGGAUGAGCCACUAUUUCAUUUAAAAACCCAUAACAAAGUGAUUUGGGCCCGAUCCCCACUUCGGUUCACACUUUGGAACCCUUGGUACAUCCUUUAUAAAUUUGGUACAUCCUUAAAAAAAUUUGGUACAUCCUUCAUUAAAUUUGGUACAUCUGAUCUGACAGAUUCCGAGACCCUCAUUUCAAAAUGGAUGGUCCAUAAUUGCUUUUAGAAACCCAUAACAAUGUGAUUUGGGGCCGAUCCCCACUUCGGAACGCAUUUUUAGACCCUUCGUACAUCCUUAACAAAAUUUGGUACAUCCGAGCUUAGUGAUUCCGGGACCCUCUUCUGACCAUGGAUGAGCCACUAUUUCAUUUAAAAACCCAUAACAAAGUGAUUUGGGCCCGAUCCCCAUUUCGGUUCACACUUUGGAACCCUUGGUACAUCCUUUAUAUAUUUGGUACAUCCUUCAAAAAAUUUGGUACAUCCUUCAUUAAAUUUGGUACAUCUGAUCUGACAGAUUCCGAGACCCUCAUUUCAAAAUGGAUGGUCCAUAAUUGCUUUUAGAAACCCAUAACAAUGUGAUUUGGGGCCGAUCCCCACUUCGGAACGCAUUUUUAGACCCUUCGUACAUCCUUAACAAAAUUUGGUACAUCCGAGCUUAGUGAUUGCGGGACCCUAUUCUGACCAUGGAUGAGCCAUUAUUUCAUUUAAAAACCCAUAACAAAGUGAUUUGGGCCCGAUCCCCACUUCGGUUCACACAUUGGAACCCUUGGUACAUCCUUUACAAAAUUUGGUACAUCCUUCACAAAAUUUGGUACAUCCUUCACAAAAUUUGAUACAUCCUUCAUUAAAUUUGGUACAUCCGAUCCGACAGAUUCUGAGGCCCCCAUUUUAACAUGGAUGGUCCAUAAUUACUUUUAGAAACCCAUAACAAAGUGAUUUGGGGCCGAUCCCCAAUUCGGAACGCAUUUUUAGACCCUUGGUACAUCCUUAACAAAAUUUGGUACAUCCGAGCUUAGUGAUUCCGGGACCCUCUUCUGACCAUGGAUGAGCCACUAUUUCAUUUAAAAACCCAUAACAAAGUGAUUUGGGCCCGAUCCCCACUUCGGUUCACACUUUGGAACCCUUGGUACAUCCUUUACAAAAUUUGGUACAUCCUUCACAAAAUUUGGUACAUCCUUCAUUAAAUUUGGUACAUCUGAUCCGACAGAUUCCGAGACCCCCAUUUCAAAAUGGAUGGUCCAUAAUUUCUUUUAGAAGCCCAUAAAAAAGUGAUUUGGGGCCGAUCCCCACUUCGGAACGCAUUUUUAGACCCUUCGUAUAUCCUUAACAAAAUUUGGUACAUCCGAGCUUAGUGAUUCCGGGACCCUCUUCUGACCAUGGAUGAGCCACUAUUUCAUUUAAAAACCCAUAACAAAGUGAUUUGGGCCCGAUCUCCACUUCGGUUCACACAUUGGAAUUACAAAAUUUGGCACAUCCUUCACAGAAUUAGGCACAUCCUUCACAAAAUUAGGUACAUCCUUCAUUAGAUUUGGUACAUCCGAUCCGACAGAUUCUGAGGCCCCCAUUUUAACGGUCCAUAAUUACUUUUAGAAACCCAUACCAAAGUGAUUUNNNNNNNNNNNNNNNNNNNNNNNNNNNNNNNNNNNNNNNNNNNNNNNNNNNNNNNNNNNNNNNNNNNNNNNNNNNNNNNNNNNNNNNNNNNNNNNNNNNNAUUCCGGGACCCUCUUCUGACCAUGGAUGAGCCACUAUUUCAUUUAAAAACCCAUAACAAAGUGAUUUGGGCCCGAUCUCCACUUCGGUUCACACAUUGGAAUUACAAAAUUUGGUACAUCCUUCACAAAAUUUGGUACAUCCUUCACAAAAUUUGGUACAUCCUUCAUUAAAUUUGGUACAUCCGAUCCGAAAGAUUCUGAGGCCCCCAUUUUAACAUGGAUGGUCCAUAAUUACUUUUAGAAACCCAUAACAAAGUGAUUUGGGGCCGAUCCCCAAUUCGGAACGCAUUUUUAGACCCUUGGUACAUCCUUAACAAAAUUUGGUACAUCCGAGCUUAGUGAUUCCAGGACCCUCUUCUGACCAUGGAUGAGCCACUAUUUCAUUUAAAAACCCAUAACAAAGUGAUUUGGGCCCGAUCCCCACUUCGGUUCACACUUUGGAACCCUUGGUACAUCCUUUACAAAAUUUGGUACAUCCUUCACAAAAUUUGGUACAUCCUUCAUUAAAUUUGGUACAUCUGAUCCGACAGAUUCCGAGACCCCCAUUUCAAAAUGGAUGGUCCAUAAUUGCUUUUAGAAGCCCAUAAAAAAGUGAUUUGGGGCCGAUCCCCACUUCGGAACGCAUUUUUAGACCCUUCGUAUAUCCUUAACAAAAUUUGGUACAUCCGAGCUUAGUGAUUCCGGGACCCUCUUCUGACCAUGGAUUAGCCACUAUUUCAUUUAAAAACCCAUAACAAAGUGAUUUGGGCCCGAUCUCCACUUCGGUUCACACAUUGGAAUUACAAAAUUUGGUACAUCCUUCACAAAAUUUGGUACAUCCUUCACAAAAUUUGGUACAUCCUUCAUUAAAUUUGGUACAUCCGAUCCGACAGAUUCUGAGGCCCCCAUUUUAACAUGGAUGGUCCAUAAUUACUUUUAGAAACCCAUAACAAAGUGAUUUGGGGCCGAUCCCCAAUUCGGAACGCAUUUUUAGACCCUUGGUACAUCCUUAACAAAAUUUGGUACAUCCCAGCUUAGUGAUUCCGGGACCCUCUUCUGACCAUGGAUGAGCCACUAUUUCAUUUAAAAACCCAUAACAAAGUGAUUUGGGCCCGAUCCCCACUUCGGUUCACACUUUGGAACCCUUGGUACAUCCUUUACAAAAUUUGGUACAUUCUUCACAAAAUUUGGUACAUCCUUCAUUAAAUUUGGUAUAUCCGAUCCGACAGAUUCCAAGACUCCCAUUUCAACAUGGAUGGUCCAUAAUUGCUUUUAGAAACCCUUAACAAAGUGAUUUAGGGCCGAUCCCCACUUCGCAACGCAUUUUUAGACCCUUCGUACAUCCUUAACAAAAUUUGGUAUAUCCGAGCUUAGUGAUUCCGGGACCCUCUUCUGCCCAUGGAUGAGCCACUAUUUCAUUUGAAAACCCAUAACAAAGUGAUUUGGGCCCGAUCCCCACUUCGGUUCACACUUUGGAACCCUUGGUACAUCCUUUACAAAAUUUGGUAAAGCCUUCACAAAAUUUGGUACAUCCUUCAUUAAAUUUGGUACAUCCGAUCCAACAGAUUCCGAGACCCCCAUUUCAACAUUGAUGGUCCAUAAUUUAUUUUAGAAACCCAUAACAAAGUGAUUGGGAGUCGAUCCUCACUUAGAAAUGCAUUUUCAGACUCUCGGUACAUUCUUCACAAAAGUUGGUACAUUCUUCAUUAAAUUUGGUGCAUCCGAGCCUAGUGAUUUCGGGACCCCCUUUUGACCAUGGGUGAGCCACUAUUUCAUUUAGAAACCCAUAACAAAGUGAUUUGGGGCUGAUCCCCACUUCGGUUCGCACUUUGGAACUCUUGGUACAUCCUUAACAAAAUUUGGUACAUUUUUAAUUAAAUUUGGUACAUCCUUCAUUAAAUAUGGUACAUCGGAUCCGAUAGAUUCCGAGACCCCCAUUUCAACAUGGAUGGACCAUAAUUGCUUUUAGAAACCCAUAACAAAAUGAUUGGGUGUCGAUCCCCACUUCGUGACUCAUUUUUGGACCUUUAGUACAUCUUUCAUUAAAUUUGGUGCAUCGGAGCUUAAUGAUUCUGGGACCUUCUUCUGACCAUGGAUGAGCCACUAUUUCAUUUAAAAACCCAUAACAAAGUGAUUUGGGUCUGAUCCCCACUUCGGUUCACACUUUGGAACCCUUGGUACAUCCUUUACAAAAUUUGGUAAAUCCUUCACAAAAUUUGGUACAUCCUUCAUUAAAUUUGGUACAUCCGAUCCGACAGAUUCCGAGACCACCAUUUCAAUAUGGAUGGUCCAUAAUUUCUUUUAGAAACCCAUAACAAAGUGAUUUGGGACCGAUCCCCACUUCACAACGCAUUUUUGGACCCUUCGUACAUCCUUAACAAAAUUUGGUACAUCCGAGCUUAGUGAUUCCGGGACCCUCUUCUGCCCAUGGAUGAGCCACUAUUUCAUUUAAAAACCCAUAACAAAGUGAUUUGGGCUCGAUCCGCACUUCGGUUCACACUUUGGAACCCUUGGUACAUCGUUAAGAAAAUUUGGUACAUCCUUCACAAAAUUUGGUACAUCCUUCAUUAAAUUUGGUACAUCCGAUCCGACAGAUUCCGAGACCCCAUUUCAACAUGGAUGGUCCAUAAUUUCUUUUAGAAACCCAUAACAAAGUGAUUGGGAGUCGAUCCUCACUUCGAAAUGCAUUUUCGAACCCUCGGUACAUUCUUCAGAAAAUUUGGUACAUCCUUCAUUAAAUUUGGUACAUCCGAGCCUAGUGAUUUAGGGGACCCCCUUUUGACAAUGGAUGUGCCACUAUUUCAUUUAUAAACCCAUAACAAAGUGAUUUGGAGCCGAUCCCCACUUCGGAUCGCACUUUGGAACCCUUGGUACAUCCUUAACAAAAUUUGGUACAUUCUUAAUUAAAUUUGGUACAUCCUUCAUUAAAUUUGGUACAUCUGAUCCGAUAGAUUCCGAGACCCCCAUUUCAACAUGGAUGGUCCAUAUUUGCUUUUGGAAACCCAUAACAAAGUAAUUCGGGGUCCAUCCCCACUUCGUGACUCAUUUUCGGACCCUUAGUACAUCCUUCAUUAAAUUUGGUACAUCCGAGCUUAGUAAUUUCGGAACCCUCUUCUGACCAUGGAUGAGCCACUAUUUCAUUUAAAAACCCAUAACAAAGUGAUUUGGGUCUGAUCCCCACUUCGGUUCACACUUUGGAACCCUUGGUACAUCCUUUACAAUAUUUGGUACAUCCUUCAGAAAAUUUGGUACAUCCUUCACAAAAUUUGGUACAUCCUUCAUUAAAUUUGGUACAUCCGAUCCGAAAGAUUCCGAGGCCCCCAUUUCAACAUGGAUGGUCCAUAAUUACUUUUAGAAACCCAUAAACAAGUGAUUUGGGGCCGAUCCCCAAUUCGGAACGCAUUUUUAGACCCUUCGUACAUUCUUAACAAAAUUUGGUACAUACGAGCUUAGUGAUUCCGGGACCCUCUUCUGACCAUGGAUGAGCCACUAUUUCAUUUUAAAACCCAUAACAAAGUGAUUUGUCCCCGAUCCCCACUUCGAAUCACACUUUGGAACCCUUGGUACAUCAUUUACAAAAUUUGGUACAUCAUUCACAAAAUUUGGUACACCCUUCAUUAAAUUUGGUAUAUCCAAUCCGAUAGAUUCCGAGAGCCCCAUUUCAACAUGUAUGGUCCAUAAUUGCUUUUAGAAACCCAUAACAAACUAAUUUGGGGCCGAUCCCCACUUAAGAAACCAUUUGUAGACCCUUCGUACAUCCAUAACAAAAUUUGGUACAUCCGAGCUUAGUGAUUCCAGGACCCUCUUCUGACCAUGGAUGAGCCACUAUUUCAUUUAAAAACCCAUAAUAAAGUGAUUUGGGCCCGAUCCCCACUUCGAUUAACACUUUGGAACCCGUGGUACAUCCUUAACAAAAUUUGGUACAUCCUUCACAAAAUUUGGUACAUCCUUCAUUAAAUUUGGUACAUCCGAUCCAACAGAUUCCGAGACCCCCAUUUCAACAUGGAUGGUCCAUAAUUUCUUUUAGAAACCCAUAACAAAGUGAUUGGGAGUCGAUCCUCACUUCGAAAUGCAUUUUUGGAUCCUCGGUACAUUCUUCACAAAAUUUGGUACAUCCUUCAUUAAAUUUGGUACAUCCGAGCCUAGUGAUUUCGGGACACCCUUUUGACCAUGGGUGAGCCACUAUUUCAUUUAGAAACCCAUAACAAAGUGAUUUGGGGCCGAUCCCCACUUUGGAUCGCACUUUGGAACCCUUGGUAGAUCCUUAACAAAAUUUGGUACAUUCUUAAUUAAAUUUGGUACAUCCUUCAUUAAAUAUGGUACAUCUGAUCCGAUAGAUUCCGAGACCCCCAUUUCAACAUGGAUGGUCCAUAAUUUCUUUUAGAAACCCAUAACAAAGUGAUUGGGUGUCGAUCCCCACUUCGUGACUCAUUUUUGGACCCUUAGUACAUCUUUAAUUAAAUUUCGUACAUCCGAGCUUAGUGAUUCCGGGACCUUCUUCUGACCAUGGAUGAGCCACUAUAUCAUUUAAAAACCUAUAACAAAGUGAUUUGGGCCCGAUCCCCACUUCGGUUCACACUUUAGAACCCUUGGCACAUCCUUUACAAAAUUUGGUACAUCCUUCAGAAAAUUUGGUACAUUCUUCAUUAAAUUUGGUACAUCCGAUCCGACAGAUUCCGAGACCCCCAUUUCAACAUGGAUGGUCCAUAAUUGCUUUUAGAAACCCAUAACAAAGUGAUUUGGGCCCGAUCCCCACUUCGGUUCACACUUUGGAACCCUUGGUACAUCCUUUACAAAAUUUGGUACAUCCUUCACAAAAUUUGGUACAUCCUUCAUUAAAUUUGGUACAUCCGAUACGACAAAUUGCGAGACCCCCAUUUCAACAUGGAUGGUCCAUAAUUGCUUUUAGAAACCCAUUACAAAGUGAUUAUGGGCCGAUCCCCACUUCGGAACGCAUUUUUAGACCCUUCGUACAUCUUUAACAAAAUUUGGUACAUCCCAGCUUAGUGAUUCCGGGACCCUCUUCUGACCAUGGAUGAGCCACUAUUUCAUUUAAAAACCCAUAACAAAGUGAUUUGGGCCCGAUCCUUACUUCGGUUCACACUUUGGAACCCUUGGUACAUCCUUUACAAAAUUUGGUACAUCCUUCACAAAAUUUGGUACAUCCUUCAUUAAAUUUGGUACAUCCGAUCCAACAGAUUCCGAGACCCCCAUUUCAACAUGGAUGGUCCAUAAUUUAUUUUAGAAACCCAUAACAAAGUGAUUGGGAGUCGAUCCUCACUUAGAAAUGCAUUUUCAGACUCUCGGUACAUUCUUCACAAAAGUUGGUACAUUCUUCAUUAAAUUUGGUGCAUCCGAGCCUAGUGAUUUCGGGACCCCCUUUUGACCAUGGGUGAGCCACUAUUUCAUUUAGAAACCCAUAACAAAGUGAUUUGGGGCUGAUCCCCACUUCGGUUCGCACUUUGGAACUCUUGGUACAUCCUUAACAAAAUUUGGUACAUUUUUAAUUAAAUUUGGUACAUCCUUCAUUAAAUAUGGUACAUCGGAUCCGAUAGAUUCCGAGACCCCCAUUUCAACAUGGAUGGACCAUAAUUGCUUUUAGAAACCCAUAACAAAAUGAUUGGGUGUCGAUCCCCACUUCGUGACUCAUUUUUGGACCUUUAGUACAUCUUUCAUUAAAUUUGGUGCAUCGGAGCUUAAUGAUUCUGGGACCUUCUUCUGACCAUGGAUGAGCCACUAUUUCAUUUAAAAACCCAUAACAAAGUGAUUUGGGUCUGAUCCCCACUUCGGUUCACACUUUGGAACCCUUGGUACAUCCUUUACAAAAUUUGGUAUAUGCUUCACAAAAUUUGGUACAUCCUUCAUUAAAUUUGGUACAUCCGAUCCGACAGAUUCCGAGACCCCCAUUUCAACAUGGAUGGUCCAUAAUUGCAUUUAGAAACCCAUAACAAAGUGAUUUGGGGACGAUCCUCACUUCGGAACGCAUUUUUAGACCUUUCGUACAUCCUUAAUAAAAUUUGGUACAUCCGAGAUUAGUGAUUCCGAGACCCUCUUCUGACCAUGGAUGAGCCACUAUUUCAUUUAAAACCCCAUAAUAAAGUGAUUUGGGACCGAUCCCCACUUUGGAACCCUUGGUACAUCCUUAACAACAUUUGGUACACACUUCACAAAAUUUGGUACAUCCUUAAUUAAAUUUGGUACAUCCGAUCCAACAGAUUCCGAGACCCCCAUUUCAACAUGGAUGGUCCAUAAUUUCUUUUAGAAACCCAUAACAAAGUGAUUGGGAGUCGAUCCUCACUUCGAAAUGCAUUUUCGGACCCUCGGUACAUUCUUCACAACAUUUGGUACAUCCUUCAUUAAAUUUGGUACAUCCGAGCCUAGUGAUUUCGGGACCCCCUUUUGACCAUGGGCGAGCCACUAUUUCAUUUAGAAACCCAUAACAAAGUUAUUUGGGGCCAAUCCCCACUUUGGUUCGCAUUUUGGAACCCUUGGUACAUCCAUAACAAAAUUUGGUACAUUCUUAAUUAAAUUUGGUACAUCCUUCAUUAAAUUUGGUACAUCCGAUCCAACAGAUUUUGAGACCCCCAUUUCAACAUGGAUGGUCCAUCAUUGCUUUUAGAAACCCAUAACAAAGUUAUGUGGGCCCGAUCCCCACUUCGGAUCGCACUUUGGAACCAUUGGUACAUCCUUCACAAAAUUUGGUACAUCCUUAAUUAAAUUUGGUACAUCCUUCUUUAAAUUUGGUACAUGCGAUCCGAUGUAUUCCGACACGCCCAUUUCAACAUGGAUGGUCCAUAAUUGCUUUUAGAAACCCAUAACAAAGUGAUUUGGGGCUGAUCCCCACUUCUGAACGCAUUUUUAGACCCUUGGUACGUCCUUAACAACAUUUGGUACAUCCGAGCUUAGUGAUUCCGGGACCCUCUUCUGACCAUGGAUGAGCCACUAUUUGAUUUAAAAACCCAUAACAAAGUGAUUUGGGUCGGAUCCCCACUUCGGUUUACACUUUGGAACCAUUGGUACAUCAUUUAAAAAAUUUGGUACAUCAUUCACAAAAUUUGGUACAUCCUUCAUUAAAUUUGGUACAUCCGAUCCGACAGAUUCUGAGACCCCACUUUCAACAUGGAUGGUCCAUAAUUGCUUUUAGAAACCCAUAACAAAGUGAUUUAGGGCCGAUCCCCACUUCGGAACGCAUUUUUCGACCCUUUGUACAUCCUUAAUAAAAUUUGGUACAUCCGAGCUUAGUGAUUCGGGGACCCUCUUCUGACCAUGGAUGAACCACUAUUUCAUUUAAAAACCCAUAAUAAAGUGAUUAUGGCCCGAUCCCCACUUCGGUUCACACUUUGGAACCCUUGGUACAUCCUUAACAAAAUUUGGUACAUCCUUGACAAAAUUUGGUACAUCCUUCAUUAAAUUUGGUACAUCCGAUCCAACAGAUUCCGAGACCCCCAUUUCAACAUGGAUGGUCCAUAAUUUCUUUUAGAAACCCAUAACAAAGUGAUUGGGAGUCGAUCCUCACUUCGAAAUGCAUUUUCGGACCCUCGGUACAUUCUUCACAAAAUUUGGUACAUCCUUCAUUAAAUUUGGUACAUCCGAGCCUAGUGAUUUCGGGACACCCUUUUGACCAUGGGUGAGCCACUAUUUCAUUUAGAAACCCAUAACAAAGUGAUUUGGGGCUGAUCCCCACUUUGGAACGCACUUUUAAACCCUUGGUACAUCCUUAACAAAAUUUGGUACAUNNNNNNNNNNNNNNNNNNNNNNNNNNNNNNNNNNNNNNNNNNNNNNNNNNNNNNNNNNNNNNNNNNNNNNNNNNNNNNNNNNNNNNNNNNNNNNNNNNNNACAAAAUUUGGUACAUCCUUCACAAAAUUUGGUACAUCCAUCAUUAAAUUUGGUACAUCCGAUCCGACAGAUUCUGAGACCCCCAUUUCAACAUGGAUGGUCCAUAAUUGCUUUUAGAAACCCAUUACAGAGUGAUUUGGGGCCGAUCCCCACUUCGGAACGCAUUUUUAGACCCUUCGUACAUCUUUAACAAAAUUUGGUACAUCCCAGGUUAGUAAUUCCGGGACCCUCUUCUGACCAUGGAUGAGCCACUAUUUCAUUUAAAAACCCAUAACAAAGUGAUUUGGGCCCGAUCCUCACUUUGGUUCACACUUUGGAACCCUUGGUACAUCCUUUACAAAAUUUGGUACAUCCUUCAUAAAAUUUGGUACAUCCUUCAUUAAAUUUGGGACAUCCGAUCCGACAGAUUCUGAGACCCCCAUUUCAACAUGGAUGGUCCAUAAUUGCUUUUAGAAACCCAUAACAAAGUGAUUUGGGGCCGAUCCCCACUUCGGAACGCAUUUUUAGACCCUUCGUACAUCCUUAAUAAAAUUUGGUGCAUUCGAGCUUAGUGAUUCCGGGACCCUCUUCUGACCAUGGAUGAGCCACUAUUUCAUUUAAAAACCUAUAAUAAAGUGAUUUGGACCCGAUCCCCACUUCGGUUCACACUUUGGAACCCUUGGUACAUCCUUAACAAAAUUUCCUACAUCCUUCCCAAAAUUUGGUACAUCCUUCAUUAAAUUUGGUACAUCCGAUCCAACAGAUUCCGAGACCCCCAUUUCAACAUGGAUGAUUUAUAAUUUAUUUUAGAAACCCAUAACAAAGUGAUUGGGAGUCGAUCCUCACUUCGAAAUGCAUUUUCAGACCCUCGGUACAUUCUUCACAAAAUUUGGUACAUUCUUCAUUAAAUUUGGUGCAUCCGAGCCUAGUGAUUUCGGGACCCCCUUUUGACCAUGGGUGAGCCACUAUUUCAUUAAGAAACCCAUAACAAAGUGAUUUGGGGCUGAUCCCCACUUCGGUUCGCACUUUGGAACCCUUGGUACAUCCUUAACAAAAUUUGGUACAUUCUUAAUUAAAUUUGGUACAUCCUUCAUUAAAUAUGGUACAUCUGAUCCGAUAGAUUCCGAGACCCCCAUUUCAACAUGGAUGGUCCAUAAUUGCUUUUAGAAACCCAUAACAAAGUGAUUGGGUGUCGAUCCCCACUUCGUGACUCAUUUUUGGACCCUUAGUACAUCUUUCAUUAAAUUUGGUACAUCCGAGCUUAGUGAUUCCGGGACCUUCUUCUGACCAUGGAUGAGCCAUUAUUUCAUUUAAAAACCCAUAACAAAGUGAUUUGGGCCUGAUCCCCACUUCGGUUCACACUUUGGUACCCUUGGUACAUCCUUUACAAAAUUUGGUACAUGCUUCACAAAAUUUGGUACAUCCUUCAUUAAAUUUGGUACAUCCGAUCCGACAGAUUCCGAGACCCCCAUUUCAACAUGGAUGGUCCAUAAUUGCAUUUAGAAACCCAUAACAAAGUGAUUUGGGGCCGAUCCUCACUUCGGAACGCAUUUUUAGACCCUUCGUACAUCCUUAAUAAAAUUUGGUACAUCUGAGCUUAGUGAUUCCGGGACCCUCUUCUGACCAUGGAUGAGCCACUAUUUCAUUUGAAAACCAAUAACAAAGUGAUUUGGGCCCGAUCCCCACUUUGAUUCACACUUUGGAACCUUUGGUACAUCGUUAACAAAAUUUGGUACAUCUUUCACAAAAUUUGGUACAUCCUUCAUUAAAUUUGGUACAUCCGAUCCGACAGAUUCCGAGACCCCCAUUUCAACAUGGAUGAUCCAUAAUUUCUUUUAGAAACCCAUAACAAAGUGAUUGGGAGUCAAUCCUCACUUCGAAAUGCAUUUUCGGACACUCGGUACAUUCUUCACAAAAUUUGGUACAUCCUUCAUUAAAUUUGGUACAUCCGAGCCUAGUGAUUUUAGGACCCCCUUUUGACGAUGGAUGAGCCACUAUUUCAUUUAUAAACCCAUAACAAAGUGAUUUGGGGCCGAUCCCGACUUCGGAUCGCACUUUGGAACCCUUGGUACAUCCUUAACAAAAUUUGGUACAUUCUUAAUUAAAUUUGGUACAUCCUUCAUUAAAUUUAGUACAUCCGAUCCGAUAGAUUCCGAGACCCCCAUUUCAACAUGGAUGGUCCAUAAUUGCUUUUAGAAACCCAUAACAAAGUGAUUGGGGGUCGAUCCCGACUUCGUGACUCAUUUUCGGACCCUUAGUACAUCCUUCAUUAAAUUUGGUAUAUCCGAGUUUAGUGAUUCCGGGACCCUCUUCUGACCAUGGAUGAGCCACUAUUUCAUUUAAAAACCCAUAACAAAGUGAUUUGGGCCCGAUCCCACUUCGGUUCACACUUUGGAACCCUUGGUACAUCCUUUACAAAAUUUGGUACAUCCUUCACAAAAUUUGGUACAUCCUUUAUUAAAUUUGGUACAUCUGAUCCGACAGAUUCCGAGACCCCCAUUUCAACAUGGAUGGUCCAUAAUUGCUUUUAGAAACCCAUAACAAAGUGAUUUGGGGCCGAUCCCCACUUCGGAACGCAUUUUUAGAUCCUUGGUACAUCCUUAAUAAAAUUUGGUACAUUCGAGCUUAGUGAUUCCGAGACCCUCUUCUGACCAUGGAUGAGCCACUAUUUCAUUUAAAAACCCAUAACAAAGUGAUAUGGGCCCGAUCCUUACUUCGGUUCACACUUUGGAACCCUUGGUACAUCCUUAACAAAAUUUGGUACAUCCUUCACAAAAUUUAGUACAUCCGAUCCGAUAGAUUCCGAGACCAGUAUUUCAACAUGGAUGGUCCAUGAUUUCUUUAAGAAACCCAUAACAAAGUGAUUGGGAGUCGAUCCUCACUUCGAAACGUAUUUUCGGACCCUCGGUACAUUCUUCACAAAAUUUGGUACAUCCUUCAUUAAAUUUGGUACAUCCGAGCCUAGUGAUUUUGGGACGCCCUUUUGACCAUGGAUGAGCCACUAUUUAAUUUAGAAACCCAUAACAAAGUGAUAUGGGGCCGAUCCCUACUUCGGAUCGCACUUUGGAACCAUUGGUACAUCCUUCACAAAAUUUGGUACAUCCUUAAUUAAAUUUGAUACAUCCUUCAUUAAAUUUGGUACAUCUGAUCCGAUGUAUUCCGAGACCCCCAUUUCAACAUGGACGGUCCAUAAUUGCUUUUAGAAACCCAUAACAAAGUGAUUUGGGGCCGAUCCCCACUUCGGAACUCAUUUUUAGACCCUUGGUACAUCCUUAACAACAUUUGGUACAUCCGAGCUUAGUGAUUCCGGGACCCUCUUCUGACCAUGGAUGAGCCACUAUUUCAUUUAAAAACCCAUAACAAAGUGAUUUGGGCCCGAUCCCCACUUCGGUUCACACUUUGGAACCCUUGUACAUCCUUAAACAUUUUAUAGAAUUAUUAUCAAAUACAAUAUGAGAAUUAUUAUUAAAAACAUUUUUGACUUUUUUAAUACUUGAAAGAUAAAAAUUUUGAAAUAUUAAAAGUACUCCUUAAAGUCACAACCAAAUGGAUCUUUUGAAUAUAUUAAACAAUGAUUUUAAAAAACUCUUUUAACCUUAAAAACAUUUUAAAACAAAAUUAAGUGUUUGAAAAAUUUUAUCAAAUAUUUUUAAAAAUCUUAAAAAUUACUUAUAAUAUGAAAAAAUUAGAUUUUUUUUAAGAAACCUUUAUUAUUAAUUUCUCAUCCAUUUUUUUUGUUUUUGUUUUUGACAAGAAAUCAUUUCUAAGUACGGGGAUUCCCACACAUUUUCACAAUAUUUGAAUAAGGGAUUGGCAGUUAGCGUGGGUCCUAUAGUUGAUUGCUAUUUUAAGAUCGGCCCAUUAUCUUCCUCAAUUACUCCAUUUUAUAUUUUUCUAUUUUUGAAAGAAUCUUUACAGAUCUUCAAUAAUUAAUGAGAAGUACUAUCUUCCUCAUCCCAUUCCUCCCCCUCUCACUCUCUUUACGUCUUUAAAGUAAGUGGUAGGGUUGGCUUUUUUGAGUUAGAGUUGGUACAAUAAAAAGGGAAAUGGAAUUAUUGCCUUUUCAUCCAGAUGAGCAGCCACAAUCAUUUACUUCAAAAGAAUCAAAACAUCUCCCUUUUGCAGUGAAAGACAUGUGAAAUUCAUUGAGUUUGAAUUUCAAUAAAUUUGAAUUGAAUUUGAAUUUGAAUUUACCAAUUCAAGGUAAUGGGGCAGUCGUCAAAAGUGGAUUUUAAGACAAUAAGUUUGAAGAAGUUUAUGUUUGGGUAUCAAAAAAUUAAACCAAAAAUGGAAGGGAAGGAAAAAAAAAUAAUUUAAAAUUAAUAAAUUAUAUUUAUAUAUUUUUUUAAAAAGUAUUCUACUUAUUUUCUUUUAUUACAUAAAAAUAAAAAAUAAUUUAUAAAUUUAUAAAUUUUUAAUUAGUAAAAUGAUGCCUAUAAUUGCAAAACAACAUUGAUUAUAUUGUUACAAAUUUUGUAUUCAAAAUAAAAUUGGAUGUCAUUCAUGAGUUUGGUAGUGGUUUUAAAAUUUUUUUUUUUUAUAUUUAUAACAUAUGAAGAUUUUUAUUUUUUAAAUAUUCAAAAUAUUAAAAAUAUUUCAUAAAAUUAUUAUCAAACGGAUAGUGGUUGUGAAAAACGUUUUUAUCUUUUGUAAUAUUUAAAAGAUAAAUUUUUUGAAAUGUUAAAAAUAUUAAAAGUAUUUCGUACAAUCACUAUUAAACGAGUUAUUAGAGUGUGUUUGAGAGCCCAUUUGAUAGUAAUUUUAUGAAGCGCUUCUAACCCUUUUAACACUUGAAAUUUUUUAUCAUUCAAGUGUUAUAAAUACUAUAAACAUUUUAUAGAAUUAUUAUCAAAUACAAUAUGAGAAUUAUUAUUAAAAACAUUUUUGGUUUUUUUAAUACUUGAAAGAUAAAAAUUUUGAAAUAUUAAAAGCACUCCUUAAAAUCACAACCAAAUGGAUCUUUAGAAUAUAUUAAACAAUGAUUUUAAAAAACACUUUUAACCUUAAAAACAUUUUAAAACAAAAUUAAGUGUUUGAAAAAUUUUAUCAAAUAUUUUUAAAAAUCUUAAAAAUUACUUAUAAUAUUUUAUCAAUUAUUUUCUUAAUACUUUUUUCUUCUUUAUGGUAUUAAAUAUGAUCAUAAGAAAUAAAUUAUCAGUGCCGCCGACUGCAGAUAAUCUUCUCAAUUUUCUUAAAGCUAUGUUUAAAAAAUUGUAGAAGGAAAGAGUAAGCGAAAAAAAUAAAAUAAAAUUUAAAUUAAUAAAUUAUUUUAUAUGUGUCUUUAAAUUAAAUUAAUUUAUUUUUAUUUAUUAUAUAAGCAUUAAAUAAUUUUAAAAUAGAUAGUUUUUUUUAAUUAAUUUUAAUUAUAUUUGAUUUUUUUUUAUAAUGAAAUGAAAACCCUUUCUUUUAGUAUUUGUUUUUUUUCUUUAGUAUUUUUUAGAAACUAAAUAUAGCCUUAGGUUUUUUUAUUUAUUUAUUAAGUUUAUUUUUUUUUUAUUAACUAAAUUGAGCUCUUAAUUAAUAAUGAAAGCAUUUUCUUAAUAAUGAGCUCUUAAUAAUACCAAUAAAAAAAUUUCAUCCAAUUUAAAGUUGAAGGUAAUAUCUCGAAUGGUCAAAGUAAUACAUGUAUCGUUGAAAUAUAGUAUUUAUAUAUUCAAAAUUAAUACCUCAAUUGAAAAGUAUUCAAAAUCUUAAUUAUUUUCUAAAAAAUGUAUUAAAUUUAAAUUUUUUAAAAUUGGGUUUUUAUUUUCUGAUUUGUGCAAGAGCACACACUUUUCAUCUUUUUUUAUUUAUAUAUUUAUUUAUUAUUUUUUAUUUUAACUGUUGAAUAAGACUUAACAAGAGUGGAUGAAUGUCUAUCAGAUUCAGAUAAGGAUGAUGGCACAAGCCGACUAAAACGAAAGAGUUAAGCAUGUGAGUGCCACCAGGCCUGCAAGGAAUGGUAGGUCCCAAAAUAUCCAAGAAAUCUCUAUAUAUAGAAACCAAUACACUUCACGUCUUUCCAUGCGACUCGCAAGCUUCUUGUCUCAGUUGCAAACAGGUACAAAAAUGAUGCUGCAGUUGCCACAAACCACAAAUGAAGCUAUGUUAAAUAUUUAAAAUAUUGCAGUUCCAAAUGGGGUGUUCGGGAUAAAAUAUUUUAAUGUGAGAUCGAAUAACCUAAAAGAAAGGAUGUUGCCACUGAGUCUAGAGAAGUGAUCCUUCACAGCUUUGGGCAUGGGAGUAUGAGGCAAAACCAACUUCCAGUAACCCUCAUAAGGUAGAGAAGCAUGGCUUACUACCACCACCACCACCACCACUGAGUCAACUUGACGAGUGUUCUCACUCCAUCCUCUUCCCAUUCUGGCUUUUCUUUCGGUAAGUCCACAUCUUUUUCCUCUUCAUUUUUGUUAUGAAUAUUGUCAAUCAAAUAUUCUUUCAGUUGUGUUAUUGUUAUUAAUGCAACUUAAUUGCAGGUGGAGGUGGUAGAAAGCCAUGCUUCUCUACCUUCUGAAGGUUACUGGAAGUUGGUUUUGUCUAAUACUCCCAUGCCCAAAGNNNNNNNNNNNNNNNNNNNNNNNNNNNNNNNNNNNNNNNNNNNNNNNNNNNNNNNNNNNNNNNNNNNNNNNNNNNNNNNNNNNNNNNNNNNNNNNNNNNNCAAUCAAAUAAUGUUCAGAUAUGUUAUUGUUAUUAAUGCAACAUAAUUGCAGGAGGUGGUGGUAGUAAGCCAUGCUUCUCUACCUUCUGAAGGUUACUGGAAGUUGGUUUUGUCUCAUACUCCCAUGCCCAAAGCUGUGAAGGAUCACUUGCAGCCUGGUUUGUUUCAAUACAUCUCUAGACUCAGUGGCAACAUCCUUUCUUUUAGGUUAUUCAAUCUCACAUUAAGCUCAUAAUUUUUCUUUGUCAUUGCUGAAUUUGCAAAUUCAAGGCGUAACUUCUUUCAAUGCUUCUGCUGCCAGAUGUUUUGGGAUUCACAAUCAGUUCAACAAAAUCCCUCAACCAUUCCAUGCAAAGCAGGCUCAAGAUGGCUUAAAUAUAGGUAACUUCUUCUUGCAAACAGAUCUGCACCCAGGUACAAAAAUGAUGCUGCAGUUGCCACAAAGUACAAAUGAAGGUAUGUUCUUGCCUUGUCAAGUUGCUGACUCCAUAUCCUUUUCAUCUAAGAAGUUACCCAAAAUUUUGAACCGGCUUUCAGUGAAGGAAAAAUCUGCAGAAGCUGAGCUGAUGAAGAAGGAGAUAGAAGAGCUAGUGUGAGGAGGCUGCCAUGGAUGGAGAAUCUAGGUUCUGUGCAACAUCAUUAGAGUCCCUAAUCGAUUUCAGCACUUCAAAGCUCGGAAGAAAUGUGAAUGUGCUGACGAAUGAGGUCAAAACGGGAAGCCAAGAGUAUGAAUUUGGAGUGGGAAUGAAGAAGGUUGCAGACAAAUCAGUGGUGUGCCAUAAGAUGAACUACCCAUAUGCUGUUUUCUAUUGCCAUACCUUCACUAAGACACGAACUUACAUGAUUCCAUUGGUGGGUGCUGAUGGAAGCAAAGCUAAAGCCAUGGCAGCUUGUCACAGUGAUACAUCAGCUUGGCACCCACAGCAUGUGGCUUUCCAAGUGCUCAAAAUUAAGCCAGGAACGGUCGCAGUCUAUCAUUUCCUUCACAACAAUGCCAUGGUCUGGAUUCCAAAGUAAGAAUCAGCCUCAAGCCUCAAGCCCAGUUGCAUUAUCAGUUCCAUCUUAAAGCUGUUUGUAGUAUGAAUGGUUCGAAUAAAUGCAGGUUCGAGGAUUAAUGUGUGUAGUGUGCAAUUGAUGCUAUGUAUUCAUCAAUGUUUCCAGGUUGAUUAAUUAAGGAGUAUUAUGGUAUAUAUAUAUAUAUAUGUUGUGUGCAAUAGUCCUCAGCAAAGCAAUUAGCCAAUAUUUUUUUUUUAUAUUAAUUCCAAUCAUAUGAAAUAUUGGAAAUAACCUUCACUGUUUCAUAUAUGGCCGGAGAAAGAAUUGAAUAAGAUUAAUGUUGUUGUGCCCUGAAGCCAAACAAUACAUGUGUAAUAUGGGCCAUAAAUUUAAAAAUACACAAAUUUAUAAUUAAUUUUAAUAAUAUGUGAUAAACCCAUAUUCUUUAAUAUUUUUUUUAGAAUCAAACAUAACUUAAAUGAUUAUUACUACACCUACACAAGUGAGUGAAAAAACUCUUACAGACAAAACUAAAUACAGAGAAACAGUUUGGAGAUAAGGUUGCCAAUUGCCAACUUGCCAUCAAAGCCAUUGCAUCUUCUUUUAUUACAACAAAAAUAGAAAAACGUGACAUGUUUGUAGGAUGAGUCAUUAUCAAGGGUUUCCUCGUGACAAGAAAACAAAAGAGACUAAAAAACAAAACAAAAAAGCUUUGCUUCUGUGGCACUAUUUCAGUACCGAGUUCACGGGACCAUGUGCAGAGACUGAGCAAUCCUUCAAUUGCUCUCCAACUCCAACACCACCCAUCUGAGAUAAACCCCGGGAAUUUUCCGUAUGAGUUUCUCCAAAUUGGCCUGAUAAAAGGGCAUUUUCAUUUUCAUCUUUAGAAGGCAAAUUAAUCUCCAAUGUCAAAUUUCUUUUAACUGGGCCUUUUCCUGCUGAUGAACCACGAGCAGUGGAAUUAUCAUCCGGAGAAGUUACCAAAUAGUUGUCUAAGGUGCCCUUGCUACUGGGAGAACCAUCGACUGCUCUUUUUGAAUCUUUUUCGAUUCUUCCAGUCUUCAAACCAGGAGAUAGCAGUUUCCUUUUCUUUGAAGAAAAAAACUGCAUACAGAAACCAAUUACAGGCCAACAACGAAUGCAAAUUACUUCAAAUUUGAACAAGAAAGGCGAAAAUCUCUGUAACCCUACCACAUGAAAAUUUUCAUAAAAUUGCCUCAUCAAAAAUAGAAGAUUCGUUGCAUGUUUUACCAAGAACAAUGCAACAAAGAUGAAAUUUUGAAGAGAAAAUGAAUGCCGAAAGAGAUCUAUGGUUUUGGGAGAGAGUAUUGAUGAGAAAAAAAUUACCUGAUCGAUGCGAAUCCGAGGCCAUGAUAGAAGCGAAGUUUCAGGCGAUCUACGGAACCCUAGUUUUUGGCCCCGCACAUACAAGCUCGCAAAAGGAAGUCACUCAAGAGGUUUGAAUUUUCCGGAAUGACCGCCAACAAGUGCCAUGUGCACAGGAAAGGCAGAUGACAAUGGACCCAAACCCGGCCCAUUAAUCCCUGGGGCUCGGGCUGGCCCAAAUCUUUAGACGGCUGUAUUUUCCUUUACGAUUGAAAAAUACGACUAAUUCAAGACGUAACAAUAUAAAGGAAAACCUACAUAAAAAUCACCUUUGCAGGCACAGAGUAUUGGCCCAAAAGAAUCUAUUGCCGACCCAAUUCUUAGAUUAGCAAGCUGAAUUUCAUGUGAGUUUAAUUAACCUAAUUGGAGUUGGUCUAAUCUAAUCCGCAAUCUUACCUUGUUAUGAAUCAAAAUAUUAUAGGCAAGCCAACUAGGUAUAUCGUUAUCAAUCUUAAGACUACGUAUAUUUAGGGUUUAGAGUUUAUGAUUUAUAGUUUAUGGUUCACAAUAGACAAUUCAUGGUUAAUAAGUUAAUAACUAAUAGCAUGAUAAUUUUGAGAUUUAUGGUAAUAUAGUUUAGUGUGUUUUCUAGAUAUCUUGUAAUCAUCAUGUUCCAUUGUUGACAACCUUUCAUUGUUAACAACACAAUAUCUUUUUCAUCAAACUUUUUUGUUAGUAUAGGAACUCUAGGGUCAAGUUGAUUAUGGACAAGCUUAGUAACUCCUUGUCUAAUUGGUUGCAAUCACACGGACCACAUAGCUUUUUUUUAUAAGAAUCCUACUCACAAAGAGUAGUGCAAUGUCCAACUACCCUUGGCAAUGAAGUUAGUGAGGGUUAGAUGGAAAAAAAAAGGGAUGAUUAGAAAAGGAUUGGCUCUAGUAUUCCCUUUCUCCUAGGAAAUAAAGUGGAUGAGUUCAAGGUGGUUUUAUAGAUAGAAAUGAACAGGCUACUUAAUACUGUGGUUGAAGAUCUUUAUGUAGGAUAAUCUAAUCAUAGUUGUUCAGUUAUCUUUAUUUGGACCAUUAUGGUUUUUCAAGUGGCAUGUAAAUCUCUAUGCAAAGGGCACCAUUGGUUACUUAAAACUGGUAUGAUAUAUUAUGAUAGAAUCUUUAAAAGCAUGCCAUGAUAUAACAAAUGUAAAGUUUAUUAUUUAUUUAAUAAUAUCUCAAUUGAACUUUUUUAUAUCUUUGUUUUAUGCAUUAUACUUUAUGAGUAUCCUGACUUGCAUCUCUUUUAUGAGUAUCCUGACUUGCAUCUCUUGUAUCGUACAUAACUUAGGUGGAUUGGGAGUUGUAUAAAAAAAAUCCAAGUCAUGGGUUCCUUGCAAGUUGAUGAUUUGUUUACAAUUAAUUUGUGAACUUAGGCAAUCUAUUUGAGAUUGUAAUGCAUUACCUCUUAGUUGGAGAAAUAACUAGUCUUGGACAUCGAGAUAAGACUCUCAUGAUAAGUGCACUACUGUGUGCAGUUACACAUUAGACGAAAUCUACAGUGAAUCAUGAUGUAAGUUCACAGAAGUAUGAGAUAAUCAUGACUUCACCAAAUUGUUAUGAUACAUUGUCUCUUAACCUUAAGAGAAUAUUGAGUUUUUGCAUUCGUAGUGGCUUUGACCAACUAUUAAGAUCCUAAAGUGAUCAUAUAUUCCUUAUGAAUUGGGUUACUGUUGAUGAAAGCCAACAUCAACAAGUAUUAUUAAUAGAGGUACCAUGAUAUCUCAUGGACUUUGAGACAGUGUGUCCCCUUAGGUAGUUCUAAGAAAGUGUAUUUAGGUAAACUAUAAUCAUAGUAGUUUUUUAAGUAGAAUUUGAGAUAAACUCUUAGUGAGCUAGGACAUGUCAAUUGAUUACACAAUAGGAAAAUUUAUAACUCAAGAAUGGUAGAGGUGAUUUUGAGAGGCUAAUAGUUUUUACCUUACUAGAUUAUGAAUACUAAUUCAUGAGAAAACUAUGUAUAGUGGAGCAGGUUACGGAUAUGACUUAGUGUCUUGUUGUAAUAUACAUAGGACAUUGAAGUACAAUUGACUUUUUAUAGCGGGAUGUUGAGUCAUCUUCAAAAUUUGAUUAUGAGGGAGCUAGUAUUGUCCUAUAAGUCCCAUCGAUCCUUAUUUAAGCUCAUAUACCUCAAUGACUAUAUUUAUAAUGAUUGGAUUGAUUCUUGGUUCACUUAUAUACAUAAGGGUAUUUUGAUAACUAUGUAAGGUUAUAUAAGAAUAAGUGAAAGACAUUUCUAAAUUGUGACGAAAGGCUUCCCAUGUUUAGGAAUGAAUCUAUUGCAUUUGAAGAUUGAGAUAUUGUGGGAUAUUGAGUUGGAAAGAUGGACGAAUCAAGAAUUUGUAAUCAAUUUUACUUCAUAAAUUGAGAAUGACAUAUUAAUUCUCACUUGCCGUGUGUUGAAAUUAGUUUUAAAUAGCAUAUAAAGGUAAUUUAUUGUAUUUAAAUUUAUUUUUCAUAUUUUUUUCUUCUUUAUUUUUUUUAUUUGUAUUUUGUCUAAUUUUUUAAAUCAAUUUAUUAUUUUUAUUUUUAAUUAAUGAAUUAAUUAAUUAAUUAAUUAAUUAAUUAUUCUUGAAAUAAGUGAUGGUCCUUUCAUGUUAUCCAUUAUUGUGAUCACAAGUUCUCUUGUGUCCUCAAUCAAUAUUUUUUUAAUCAAAAUAUUUGUAAAAAUGUUAGUAAUGAAUUACUUAAAAAAUUAAGUGUUAUAAUAAUUAUUUAAAAAAUAUAACUAUGUUUUGUUCUUAGAAUAUAUUAAAUAAAAAAAUACUGAAAAAAAUGAUUUUCUCAUAUUUGAUUUUCUUACAAAAAAAAUAUGAAAAUAUAAAAUAUUAUUAAAAUUAGUUUUCAAAUUAUUUAAUUUUUAUAUGAAAGACUUAUAAAAUAAAUUUGAAAACGUGUAUUAAAAUAAUUUAUUAAUUAUAUAUAUAUAUAUAUAUAUAUAUAUAUAUAUUUUUAUCUUCUUUCGUUUUUUUUCUUUUUCUUUUAUUUACUUUUCCUCUUUAUUUGAAAAAGUGUAUAAAAAAUGAAGUAUUCAUUUUUUAUUUUAUUUUAUUUUUUACUAUUUUAAGUUUUAAAAUUUUAAAAUCAAUUUUAAAUAUUUUAAAUAUAUAAUGUAUACUUUUUGUAUAAAAAGUUUUAAUUUUUAUACAAAAUUUGAUUAUUUUAUAAUUUAAAAACAAAAAUAGGAAAGAUAUCCUAGGACACUUAUUAUGUUAAUUUUUAAAUAAAAAUAUAAACAUGGAAUUAUCGUCUAUAGAUUUUGUUACUUUUAGUUUUUAGUUUUUUUCAAAGUAAAUAGACUAGAAAUGAUUCAUUGAACCCUACUAUCGAUGCCCAUCAUUCCAUCCAUGCCAGAGUGGCCGUGAAAUAAAUUCUUGGUGCCGCCGGACAUCAACAAUCAUGACACUUAAUUUAAUUUGUUAGGUUUUUGUCAAUUUUCAUGAUCACUUUCGCUAGUUUAACAAGGGUCUCCAAAAAGCCCGCGGCCCACGGCCCGGCCCGACCUGAGCCCAUUUCUGGAUGGGAUGAGCCAUGGGCCCAAAUUUAGGCCUAGCCCGGCCCAGUGGGCUGGCCCGCCCGUAGGCCCGCCACUUAAAAUAUAUAUAUAUAUAUAUAUAUAUUCAAGAAAUAGAAAAUGCUACAUUAAUAAAAAUAUUUAUUGCUAACUAUUUUAUUCAUUGAAUGUAUACAUUACAUUUGAAAAUGUGGGAAAAGUUUACAUCACUACAAAAUAAAUACAUCUCAACUAGGUUGACACUUACUUAUUUGUCAAUCAUUUGUACUUUUCAACCAUAAAAAUAAAAAUAAAAAUAUGACAUACAUUUAGUAAAAUAUUUUAAUCAUUAUCUCUUGGCGAUGAUGGCGAACUAUCGCAAAUCCAUGAAGAUCUUGAAGAUUUUAGUUUUUCUAUAUCGACAAACAUAUUUUCUUCUUGAAUAGAAUCAAAUAUCCUUUUAUCUGCUAUUGCCUAGUCUUUCCCACAUAUAUUUGCUUCAAUAGAAUCCGACACUAAGCUGCAUCGUUUAUCACUAACUACUCUUCCACCUGUACUAAAAGUAGCUUCUGAUGCAAUUGUACUCACAGGAACUGUUAGUACAUCACGAGCAAUGAUAGAAAGUACAGAAUAUUUGUGUUGUUGUGAUUUCCACCAUAUUAAAAUAUCAAAAUCUUCAUCAUCUUCAAAUGAAAUUAAAUCAAUAUUAAGAUAUCUAUCUAAAUCAGUUGUGUUGUUUGGAGAACUAUUUGUUGUCUUCUUUCGACUUUUUAACAUUUCUAGAGCUCCUUUAUAAAAAGAUGAAGAGCUUGUAGAUGUAGGUGGUAAUUUAAUAGAACUAAUAUCAUCACCAUAUUUUUCUUUAUAAUAGUUAUAUAAAUUAUAUAAUAAUGAAUUUAUUUCAUUUUUAAUUUCUUCAAUUUUUAUUUGGUCAUUAAAAUAAAUAAUUGUUAACCAUUCAUUCAAAGCUUCAAAUUUCAAUCUAGGGUCCGCAAUUAAACCAAGAUAAAAAAUUAAAGGUAUUUCUCCCCAGUAUUUUCUAAAUUUUUCUAUCAUUGCAAAUAUUGCAUCAUUAAAUAUAUCCAAAUUUAAAUAUUUUGAAGUACAAUAAAAAUAUUAGUUAUUUGCAUGACAACUCGGUUUGAAGAUGGAUGAUAUACACUACAAAAAUUUGGUGGCUAGUUACACAAAAAAGGGUCAGCUCAAUUGGUGGCUAGCUCUUCUUGAAUGCUUAUGGAUUCAUAAGGGAAAGGGUUCGAAUCCCCUUCCCUUCAAAACUUAAAAGUAUUUUAAUUUUUACCCAAUACCCACCCAAGCCCGCCCAGCCCGUCCAGCUUGAGGGCCCAUAGGCUGGGCCACGGGCCUUAGAUUUACCAAGGGCCCGGCCCGACCAGCCCGUUGACCAGUCAACGGGCUCAGUGGCCCGCCCGGGUUGGGCCAUGGGCCUUACUCCUCCGGGCUGGCCAGCCCGGUCCGGCCCGUUGGAGACCCUCAGUUUUCAUUUUGACGUAAAUUUGAUGAUUAAGAUAGAAAUUUAACAUUGGGAAAAAUAGCCAUUAAAGAAUUAUUUGAAAAACAUUUUUUCCAAUUUUUUUAUUGAAUAAAAUGUUAUCAAAAUCAUUGCAAAAAAUGUUUUUCAUUAAUAUCAAAUAUUAAUUAAUUAAUUAAUUUUUUAAUAUGAUAAUAUUGUAUGAAAAUGACAUACUCUAAUACUUCAAUAUAGUGUGGUGAUAUAUUUUUUCUUCUUCUGAUUAAGAUUUUAUCAUUUUUGGACAAGUUUCACUUCUUUUCCAAUACUCCAAUACUCUCAAACUAAUCGGAUGCUUCAACCCUAUAAGAUUAGGGGAGAGGAUGACCCUCGACAUCCUUUGUGUAACACAAUAAAACUAAUUCAAGUUCAUAAUAUGAUAUUUUAUAUAUUAUUUUUAUAAAUAUUUGAAGAUAAUAUUUGAGAAUGUAAGUUUAGUAAAUUAUGUACAUACGGUGUGAAAUUAAAAGGAUAUUAUUUUCAUUCUUAAACAAAUAGAUACUUUAUAAAACAUAAAUUGACUGCUUUGUUGUUUUUACUCGUGAAAGUAAGACCAGCCAAGCAGUGGUGGUUGAGGGGUCACAUGAUUGGUGAUAAAAUUGUUUAUAUCCACAUUUACAAAAACCUAUUCUUGAGAAGGGAUCUUCAGGACACUCAUGUGCUAGUUUAAUUAUCUCGUUGUAAUGGAACUUACAUGAAUAAAUGAACUUGGUGGCAUGCAUGCAGGUGAUGGUGGUAGUAAUCCAUGCCUCUCUACCUGCUGAGGAUUACUGGAAGUUGGCUUUGCCUCGCACUCCCAUGCCUAAAGCUAUACUAGAUCUGUUGCAGUCCAGUUAGUUUCAUUAAAUCUCUACCCUCCUCUUCUGCAACAUCUUUUACUGAUUCUAAUUAUGGUCUCCUAUCAUAGAAUUAAACUGCAGAGUAAAGAUUGUUCUUUAUAACUAUUUGCUUUAUUUCUUGAAAAUUAUUUGUCUAGACUAACAUUUCUAACUCUUCUUUGUAAUUGCUGUACUUGCAAAUUCAACAGAAGGUCUAAGUUCUGUCGAUGCUUCUACUGCCUCUUGUACUAUUCACAUCCACUUCGAUAAAUUCUCUCAACCCGCGGGAGAAGAGGCUCAAGUAGAUGACUCAAAAAUAGGUAACUUCUUGGAAACAGACCUGCAUCCAGGUAAAAAAUGAAGAUGAACUUGGCCACAACUACAAAUGGAGCUGUUUUCUUGCCUCAUCAAGUUGCUGAAUCCAUACCCUUUUCAUCCAACAAGCUACCUGAAAUCUUGAACCGGUUUUCCCUGAAAGAAAAAUCCACAGAAGCCGAGAUAAUAAAGGAGCUAGAGGAAUGCGAGGAGCCUGCCAUGGAAGGAGAAGCAAAGUACUGUACAACAUCAUUAGAGUCCCUAAUCGAUUUCAGCACUUCAAAGCUUGGAAGAAAUGUGAAUGUGCAGGCGAAUGAGGUCAAAACGGGGAGCCAGGAGUAUGAGUUUGGAGUGGGAAUGGAGAAGCUUGCCGACAAAUCAGUGGUGUGCUAUAAGAUGAACUACCCAUAUGCUGUUUUCUACUGCCAUACAUUCACUAAGACACGGACUUACAUGAUUCCGUUGGUGGGUGCUGAUGGAAGCAAAGCUAAAGCCAUGUCAGCUUGUCAUAGUGACAGAUCAGCUUGGCACCCAAAACAUGUGGCCUUCAAAGUGCUCAAUGUUAAGCCAGGAACAGUCCCUGUCUGCCAUUUCGUUCACAACAAUGCCAUGGUCUGGAUUCCAAAAUAGCCUGAUGAUGAAAUCAACGGAAAUAUUUAAUCCUCAACCACAGUUGCAUUGUUCCACGUAAUAGUCGUUUCUAGUAUCAAUGGUGUGGUUUGAACAAAUGCAGGUUAAUUUGAGAAGAAUGUAGUGUGGAAUGCUAUUCAUCAAUCUUUCCCGGUUGAUUAAAGGAAUAUUGUAUAUAUUGUUGUGUGGCAUAAUAUUCAGUAAUUAAUGAAUCACUAUGAAUUAUCCUAGUGUAUAUAUUGUAGUUUAUCCUAGUGUAUAUAUUGUAGUUGUGCAAAUGAUCCUAUUUAUAUUUUUAAAAAUUAAUUUUAAAAUUUGAAUUAGUAAUUUUUUUAAAUCUUAAUUUUUAAAAUGAUUUCAACCCUUUUAACCAAAUAUUUUAUGUUAAAAAUUAUUAUUAGUAUAUAUAUAUAUAUAUAUAUUAGAAAUCCCUAUUUUACUUUAACAAAUAUCUUAUCAGGCUUUUUUUAACUUACACAUCUAGUUCAAAAAAUAAUUAUUAAAAAAUGGUAGUUUGGAAAAAAAAAAAUUUAAAAUAUGAUAGUUACAAAACUAUUAAUAAAUUUUGAAUACUUUUUGUUCAUUUAUGACAUUUUUCAUAAUUUCAUAAAAUUAAAUUUAUGUUGAAGGUGUCUCUUCAAAAGACACUUUUUUCAUAAUUUUUUUAUUAGUUAUACACGUUAAAAACAAAUUGAAGUUAUACUAAAAAAUAUAAUUUCCACAAUGUCAUAGAAUCAAAUUUAUACCAAAGGUGUCUCUUGAAGAGAUAUCUUCCACAAUUUUCAUAUUAGCCAUAUAGUGAAAAAAAAAACUGUAUUUAAGUUUAAGGCAUAGAUCUCUAUAAUUUCACAAAAUUGAAUUUACACUAAGGCGAUGUUUGUUUUUUUCACUUUUUGCUAAAAGUAAUUUGCUUUCAAAAUUUAAGUUUUUUUUUUUUCUAGUUUUUGAUGACUUAUUAUUGAAUUUUCAAUUUUUUUUGGUUAAAUAGAAAAAACAAACUUUUUAAACCUCCCCAAAUCACGAUUGCAACCCGACACCUGACGCCCAACCCUAGCCCAUCCCUUGUAGCUCUCUAGUCUUAAUUGCAAUCGGCGAUCCCCAACCCUCACCUCAUCAUUGUGUAGCUCAUUGGUUCCACGACCAUCACCAAGCUUUCUUAAGGUAAUUUCUUCCCCAUUUUCUCUCUAUUUAGGUUUCAGCUUUCGUUCUUCCUCUUUCUCAGCAAUGGGGUUAAACCAUAGGUAGAAUGGUUGUUUUAUGUUUGGAAAUGGUUUAUUAAUAUAUUCUUUAGUACGAUUCUUUAUGAUUCUCAUGCCAAUGGUUUAUUUUGAAGUUUUGUGGGCAAUUUUGACUUUGUGGGAGUGGGUUUGAUGAGUUUACAGGUUCAAUGAAUUUUGUAGAGAUGCUCAUGGGUUUUUUGGAUACAUUUGUGUGAUUCGAUUUUGACUUUGAGGAACCAUUUGUGUGAUUUUGUGGGCCAUUUUUUGCCUGCUUGGGUUGUUUUUUGUUGCCUUUGUAUAGUGUCAUUCACUUGUCUAAUGUGCAGAGUGAAGCUUUGUCAUUCACUUGUACUUGGUUGUUGGAGGAAAUAAUAAUAUCAAAAUAAGAAUUGUUAACCAAUUUUUAAACAAUAAUAUGCAUUUUCUGAAUGUAUGUUAUUGCUUGAUUUGACUCCGUGUUCUUGUUUCCUGUUGUUUUGCAUUGAAAUUACUUCCUUCCUUUGAAAACCUUCUGCCAGAUAAACAGGACUAUAAAAGAAUCACAUAGAGAGAGUUUGACAAAUUUUGCAAUCUCAAAACAUCUUGGAUUUUCCAAUUUCAUAAGAGAGUGAUAAUUUCUAUGGGAUAACCAAGUUACAAAAAAGUACGGUUCUUAUAUCAAAUGAACAACAAAAAUGAACAAACUCAUUCCUCACCAGAAUCCUUCCGUGGUUGGAGGCCACCAAUCUCGAAAACCCUAGAAGUUUAUGACAUGGGGGAUGAAUUAGAAUCCAUAUUGAAGAGGGCUUAUUUUUACAAGUGCAGAUGCUGAUCCACUCUUUUUUUUUUUUUUUUGUAAUAAAUAACUUCACAAUUUUUAAUUUUAAGCUUCUAUCCUUUGCCUUCAAUCUUCAAUCUCUGCUAUUGUAUUAAUGGCCCUGGGAGCUGCCUAAGAAAAAUGAAAAAAAUGGACCAACCAAACUCAAAGAUGACAAUAGUUUGGUGGCUGCCCUUGAAGAAGAUCCACAGAAGAAUGGACAGUUCAGAAAGGGGAAGAGGGUCAGAAAACACACUACUUUGGGAAGAGAGAGUGAAUUGAAUUGGUUGUUCUUGUACAUGAUCAGAGAUGUUUAAUUGGCCUGGAUAAAAAAACAUAUAUCUCUCAUUAAUAAGAUAUAUAUGUAGCAUAGUCAGGCUUAAAAUUGAAUGCCAUUAACUAUGACAAAGACUGCCAUACACAAUUGUGCAUGGCACAUGCACAUCCCAUCAGCAUCCUAUGCUUCUUAUGGAUCAAAGGUGAAUUUGCUUUUAGUGCAGACUAGACAUGUAAUGUGAUUUUGUUAUCUGAUGGGAUUCUUGGUGUUACCGUAUCUAUGGUUAUAGAAAAUAGCAUUAUUAAACUGGUGGUUGUCUUAGGGAUUGUUAACUUCUUGAGGUUGCUUAUAGAAGAAAAGAUUAUUCUAAAGCAACUAAAGUGAAUAUUGUGUUUGCCAGACAAUUGUUUAUUCUUUCUGUUAACAUUUAGGGCAUUGGAUGGAUUAUCUCUGUUAGAACCUUGCAAGAUAUUGUGAGUACUUUUUUCUGCUUAUAGUUGAAGCCUUUGUUAGUGUUGAAAGCCAGCUGGCUAGUUGCUUCCUUUCUUGAAUUCAAGAAAGAAUUUUUUUGCCACCACCAAAAGAAAAAGUAAAGGUAAAUAAAAAAAUUUAUUUAUUUUUGUAUGUUUUUUUUUUUUUUUAAAUUUUGACUUAUUUUUACCUAUGAAAUUUAAAUAAUUUAAAAAUAAAUAAAAUUUAAACUAAUUUUAAUUAUAUUUGAUUUUAAUUUUUUUUUUUAUAAUGAAAGAGAAAACCAUUUUUUCAGCAUUUGUUUAAGUAGUUCCCAAAAUAUCCAAGAAAUCUCUAUAUAUAGAAACCAACACACUUCACUGCUUUCCAUGCAACUUGCAAGCUUCUUGUCUCAAUUUCUGAGUUUCUGAGCUUUUACCAUUAAUGGAGUUCCUUCGUCCUCUUCCCAUUCUGGCUUUUCUUUCAGUAAGUCCACAUCUUUUUCCUCUUCAUUUUUGUUAUGAAUAUUGUCAAUCAAAUAUUCUUUCAGUUGUGUUAUUGUGAUUAAUGCAACUGAAUUGCAGGUGGUGGUGGUAGUAAGCCAUGCUUCUCUACCUUCUGAGGGUUACUGGAAGUUGGUUUUGCCUCACACUCCCAUGCCCAAAGCUGUGAAGGAUCACUUGCAGCCUGGUUGGUUUCAAUACAUCUCUAGACUCAGUUGCAACAUCCUUUCUUUUAGGUUAUUCGAUCUUACAUUAAGCUUAUAAUUUUUCUUUGUCAUUGCUAAAUUUGCAAAUUCAAGGUGUAACUUCUUUCAAUGCUUCUGCUGCUGCUUUUUGUUUGGGGAUUUACUAUGGGUUCAACAAAAUCCCUCAACCAUUCCAUGCAAAGCAGGCCCAAGAUGGCUUAAAUAUAGGUAACUUCUUCUUGCAAACAGAUCUGCACCCAGGUACAAAAAUGGUGCUGCAGUUGCCACAAACUACAAAUGAAGCUAUGUUCUUGCCUCGUCAAGUUGCUGACUCCAUACCUUUUUCAUCUAAGAAGCUACCCGAAAUUUUGAACCGGCUUUCAGUGAAGGAAAAAUCUGCAGAAGCUGAGCUGAUGAAGAAGGAGAUAGAAAAGUGUGAGGAGCCUGCCAUGGAUGGAGAAUCUAGGUUCUGUGCAACAUCAUUAGAGUCCCUAAUCGAUUUUAGCACUUCAAAGCUCGGAAGAAAUGUGAAUGUGCUGACGAAUGAGGUUAGAAUGGGAAGCCAAGAGUUUGAAUUUGGAGUGAGAAUGAAGAAGGUUGCAGACAAAUCAGUGGUGUGCCAUAAGAUGAACUACCCAUAUGCUGUUUUCUACUGCCAUACAUUCGCUAAGACACGGACUUACAUGAUUCCAUUGGUGGGUGAUGAUGGAAGCAAAGCUAAAGCCAUGGCAGCUUGUCACAGUGAUACGUCAGCUUGGCACCCACAGCAUGUGGCCUUCCAAGUGCUCAAAAUUAAGCCAGGAACGGUCCCUAUCUGUCAUUUCCUUCACAACAAUGCCAUGGUCUGGAUUCCAAAGUAAGGGAUAAGCUGAAAGC